AAAUAAGAAACGAUAUUUUGUAUUCAGUUUCGACCUGACAUCUAGGCCCUAUGCCCUUAUUUA
RNAcentral lists this transfer RNA (63 nucleotides) under Nesomachilis australica. RNAcentral's name for it is "tRNA-Arg". Lineage: Eukaryota; Metazoa; Arthropoda; Insecta; Archaeognatha; Meinertellidae. The record is from RNAcentral.